UACGGAGGGUGCGAGCGUUGUUCGGAAUUACUGGGCGUAAAGGGCGCGUAGGCGGCUUAUCAAGUCAGGCGUGAAAUUCCCGGGCUCAACCUGGGGGCUGCGCUUGAUACUGAUUGGCUUGAAUGCGGGAGAGGAUAGUGGAAUUCCCAGUGUAGAGGUGAAAUUCGUAGAUAUUGGGAAGAACACCGGUGGCGAAGGCGGCUAUCUGGCCCGUAAUUGACGCUGAGGCGCGAAAGCGUGGGGAGCAAACAGG
This 253-nucleotide ribosomal RNA is filed under the name uncultured bacterium. RNAcentral's name for it is "partial 16S ribosomal RNA". It matches the Rfam family "Bacterial small subunit ribosomal RNA", at positions 524 to 776 of the family's 1533-position model. The record is from RNAcentral.